This 638-nucleotide long non-coding RNA is filed under the name Homo sapiens (human). RNAcentral describes it as "HSALNT0229853". The record is from RNAcentral. Lineage: Eukaryota; Metazoa; Chordata; Mammalia; Primates; Hominidae.
GCCACACCGCAGGGAGCUGCCCAGGGAGGAAGGGAAGGGGUCAGGUUGUUAGCCUGGCCACUCCUAUGCAGCCCAGGAGCUCUGAUAUAGAGCUUGGGAAGUGGGUUCACAGGAGUCAACACCCCUUUGUCCCCUCCCAGGCAUGGGCAGUUGUGCCCCUUCUGUCCACUACCCAUUACCUAAUUCAGGUCUCAUGGCAGCUUCUCUCCUUGCAAGCCUUCCAUCCAUCCCGCCCCUUACAAGUCUGAAGAUUUUCAUAAACCCCCAAUCUGACCAGGCCACAGCCCUGCUUAAACCCUUCUUGGCUCCACGCGGUCCUUAAGAUACAUUCCAGACAGACCAUGGCACCGCCAUCGGACCCAGCCGUCCCCUCUGGACCCUUCAGUUGUGUACAUCAGGCCACACACUUGUUUACCCGGGACCUUGGCUGAUCCAGGUCACUCUACCUGGUAUGCCCUUCCCCAUCCUUACUGUCUGGCAAACUUCCCUUUGCCUGUGGAUGCUUGAUUGGAACAGCAGCCCCUCCGUAGACAGGCGGGCUUCUGCUGGCUGAGUUGGGCAUUGCCUCCGAGCCCAGCACCCCCCAACCUCCACCAUGCUCCCCGAUGCUGCCCAGUCUCACAAUUGUUCCGGAGUCC